CUGAACAGCAGCAGAAGGAAGGUAAGAGACAGAAAGGGAAGAAACCUUAGAAACAGGAGUGGAAAUUAUAUCAGGUGGAGGAGUUGGAGAAAUCUCCUCAAUACUCAUCUCUUGUUCUUCCAUUACAGGACGUCAAGAAGAAAGAGGGAUGGAGUCUCUGAACCUCUUUGGGGGACCCACACAGGGACAAGACCUUUCCAUGUUGAAGAGGAAUUCACCAGUACUUCAGGAGACAGCAAGAACCAAAAGGAGUGACAUGAAACAGAGGAGUCUCUUAAAAGUUAAGGGGAGGCCCCUCCCAUCAUACUGCAACAUUUUCCUGAUUAAACUUCAAUCCCGGUAGAAGAUCCCAUUAAUUACGUUUAAGGCCCACUAGGGGGGCCUACACUCCCAGUACUUCGUACAAUACUCCAAGUGAGGUCUCACCAGUGUUCUGUACAAUGGCAUGAGCACUUCCCUCUUUCUACUGCUAAUACCUCUCCCUAUACAACCAAGCAUUCUGCUAGCAUUUCCUGCUGCUCUACUACAUUGUCUGCCUACCUUUAAGUCAUCAGAAAUAAUCACCCCUAAAUCCCUUUCCUCAUAUGUUGAGGUUAGGACUCUAUCAAAUAUUCUGUACUCUACCCUUGGGUUUUCACGUCCAAGAUGCAUUAUCUUGCACUUAUCCACAUUAUUGUGUUUUAUAUUUUAGAAAUAAGCUGUAACCCCAUUUUUUUUAUAUAUAUAUUCUGACUUAAGGGAGGCUUGGAUGGAGAAGUUUCAGAUGGUAGCUGCCCCAGAUUCACAGCCAAUAUUAUACAAGUACUAACGUGUAAUUCAUUUUUUGCUUUUAUUAAAGAAUAUUAUUCAUAUCACUAAUGAUCAUAUAAUCAACUGCAGCCGUCACCAUUCUUGUUAAUUCAUAUUAAAUCAAACACUGUUUCCAGGAGAUGAAGAAAUUGUCUGUUGGUUUGCAAUAAAUGGUUCGACC
Molecule: long non-coding RNA, 970 nt
Filed under: Pelobates cultripes (western spadefoot toad)
Lineage: Eukaryota; Metazoa; Chordata; Amphibia; Anura; Pelobatidae
Source: RNAcentral